UACAAAGCAUUUUUUGUUAAUAUAUAUUGAAAAAGAGAGAGUUUAUACUAUAACAGGUUAUUAUUGACACUUAUCAACUUCAAACACAGUGAAACACUCAACAAUAAUUUUUCCUUUGCCAAACACAGGCUUCGUCACAUGAGCGGAAGAUACAUCAGCUAGUAUAGGAAUUACAAAAGGUUGAGCAUUAGAAAAUCAUGUCUCUACUCCAGCUUGGUAGCAUAAUGCCUCUGUACACUGGCUUCUUGAUUCGAGCUUUCUUGAUCGGCGGUGCGAUAAAAAUGCCUCUUUUUAUCCGGUGAAAGUUUUUGGUAUAACUCACGUCUUUGAUGAAAGAUGUAUGUUCUAUUGAUGUUAUAACAUAUUCUCUGUUAAUAGAACAAGAAUUCUAAAGAGAGAAUUCAACGAAAUGCAAUCAAAAGGGAUUCGACAUUCUA
Molecule: long non-coding RNA, 437 nt
Organism: Capsicum annuum
Lineage: Eukaryota; Viridiplantae; Streptophyta; Magnoliopsida; Solanales; Solanaceae
Exons: 2
Source: RefSeq, a predicted model, not a curated record